Long non-coding RNA from Daphnia magna, 312 nucleotides. RefSeq lists it as uncharacterized. The transcript is spliced from 2 exons. Lineage: Eukaryota; Metazoa; Arthropoda; Branchiopoda; Diplostraca; Daphniidae. The record is from RefSeq and is a predicted model, not a curated record.
UGACGUCAAGCUAAUGAAAAUCCUUCAAACUAUUAUCCAAGAUGGCGUCUCGACAUUUUUAUCCUAUCGUGCUUUCUCGUCUGUUUUCUUAUGGAUCGGCUGCAGCCAUGACACCAACCGGCACUUAAGUGAAUUAGAUUCACCUGUAUUGCUUUAUUGGAUCUGCACAAUUUUCUUCGAGUAUACAAAAUUGUUUUUUAUGUUAAAUCUUUCAAUUCGAUCUUAGCAUCCCACUCGAAUGAUGUAUUUCGGUACCUAUGAUCUAAUGUGAUGCGGCAAAAGUUUUGACCAAAAUACAAGUCUUUUGCUGUA